CUGCCCUAGUAACGGCGAGUGAAGCGGCAACAGCUCAAAUUUGAAAGCUGGCCUUCGGGUCCGCAUUGUAAUUUGUAGAGGAUGCUUUGGGUGAAACGCCAGUCUAAGUUCCUUGGAACAGGACGUCAUAGAGGGUGAGAAUCCCGUAUGUGACUGGAAAUGUUAACCUAUGUAAAGCUCCUUCGACGAGUCGAGUUGUUUGGGAAUGCAGCUCUAAAUGGGAGGUAAAUUUCUUCUAAAGCUAAAUAUUGGCGAGAGACCGAUAGCGCACAAGUAGAGUGAUCGAAAGAUGAAAAGCACUUUGGAAAGAGAGUUAAAAAGCACGUGAAAUUGUUGAAAGGGAAGCGCUUGCAAUCAGACUUGUUUAAACUGUUCGGCCGGUCUUCUGACCGGUUUACUCAGUUUGGACAGGCCAGCAUCAGUUUCGGCGGCCGGAUAAAGGCUCUGGGAAUGUGGCCUUCACUUCGGUGAAGGUGUUAUAGCCCAGGGUGUAAUACGGCCAGCCGGGACUGAGGUCCGCGCUUCGGCUAGGAUGCUGGCGUAAUGGUUGUAAGCGACCCGUCUUGAAACACGGACCAAGGAGUCUAACAUCUAUGCGAGUGUUCGGGUGUCAAACCCCUGCGCGUAAUGAAAGUGAACGGAGGUGGGAACCGCAAGGUGCACCAUCGACCGAUCCUGAUGUCUUCGGAUGGAUUUGAGUAAGAGCAUAGCUGUUGGGACCCGAAAGAUGGUGAACUAUGCCUGAAUAGGGUGAAGCCAGAGGAAACUCUGGUGGAGGCUCGCAGCGGUUCUGACGUGCAAAUCGAUCGUCAAAUUUGGGUAUAGGGGCGAAAGACUAA
This 839-nucleotide ribosomal RNA is filed under the name Aureobasidium sp. BJ-2021j. RNAcentral describes it as "partial large subunit ribosomal RNA". It matches the Rfam family "Eukaryotic large subunit ribosomal RNA", at positions 75 to 934 of the family's 3401-position model. Lineage: Eukaryota; Fungi; Ascomycota; Dothideomycetes; Dothideales; Saccotheciaceae. The record is from RNAcentral.